RNAcentral lists this ribosomal RNA (339 nucleotides) under uncultured eukaryote. RNAcentral describes it as "LSU rRNA". It matches the Rfam family "Bacterial large subunit ribosomal RNA", at positions 2139 to 2478 of the family's 2925-position model. The record is from RNAcentral.
CAGCUUAGGUGGAAGGCUGAGAAAGGCAAUUCCGGUUGUCUGGAGCCAUCAGUGAGAUACCACUCUGGGAGAGCUAGGAGUCUAAUGGCGUUCCUUGAAUCAGGACGCUUGACAGUUUCAGGUGGGCAGUUUUACUGGGGCGGUAGCCUCCUAAAAGGUAACGGAGGCGUGCAAAGGUUCCCUCAGGCUGGACGGAAAUCAGCCAUAGAGUGUAAAGGCAGAAGGGAGCUUGACUGCAAGACCUACAAGUCGAGCAGGGACGAAAGUCGGCCUUAGUGAUCCGACGGUGCCGUGUGGAAGGGCCGUCGCUCAACGGAUAAAAGUUACUCUAGGGAUAAC